This 794-nucleotide ribosomal RNA is filed under the name uncultured archaeon. RNAcentral's name for it is "bacterial SSU rRNA". It matches the Rfam family "Archaeal small subunit ribosomal RNA", at positions 85 to 879 of the family's 1478-position model. The record is from RNAcentral.
ACGGCUCAGUAACACGUGGACAACCUACCCAAAGGUCUGGGAUAACUCCGGGAAACUGGGGAUAAUACCGGAUAGGUCAAGAGUACUGGAAGGGUUUUUUGAUUGAAAGCUCUGGCGCCUUUGGAUGGGUCUGCGGCUGAUUAGGUUGACGCCGGUGUAAAGUACCGGCGUGCCGAUUAUCAGUACGGGUUGUGGGAGCAAGAGCCCGGAGAUGGAUUCUGAGACACGAAUCCAGGCCCUACGGGGCGCAGCAGGCGCGAAAACUCUACAAUGCAGGCAACUGCGAUAGGGGAACAUCGAGUGGCAUCUACAUUAGGUGUCUGUCCAGCUGUCUAAAAAACGGCUGUUAGCAAGGGCCGGGCAAGACCGGUGCCAGCCGCCGCGGUAAUACCGGCGGCUCGAGUGGUGGCCGAUAUUAUUGAGUCUAAAGGGUCCGUAGCCGGCUUUGCAAGUCUUGUGGGAAAUCCAGCGGCUUAACCGUUGGGCGUCUGCGGGAUACUACAUUGCUUGGGACUGGGAGAGGUAGGAGGUACUCAGGGGGUAGGAGUGAAAUCCUGUGAUCCUCUGGGGACCACCGGUGGCGAAGGCGUCCUACCAGAACAGGUCCGACGGUGAGGGACGAAAGCUAGGGGCACGAACCGGAUUAGAUACCCGGGUAGUCCUAGCCGUAAACGAUGCCCGCUAGGUGUCACGGCAGUCGUGAACUGCCGUGGUGCCGUAGGGAAGCCGUGAAGCGGGCCACUUGGGAAGUACGACCGCAAGGUUGAAACUUAAAGGAAUUGGCGGGGGAGCAC